This is a non-coding RNA of Acanthosepion pharaonis, 107 nucleotides long. NCBI's taxonomy places the organism in Eukaryota, Metazoa, Mollusca, Cephalopoda, Sepiida, Sepiidae. The record is from the annotation of a GenBank genome assembly.
GACCAUAUCAUGUUGAAACACCAGUUCCUAUAUGAUCGCUGAAGUUAAGCAACUGAACCUGGUCAGUACCUGGAUGGGUGACCAUUUGGGAAUACUGGGUACUGCGA